AAGGGAGACCUAAUUCGGGCAUAAGACGAAAAAAGAGUAGUCGAAACCAAGAAUCAAUCCCAAAAGGUCGGAACGAGGUAUGUGGCUUUCAAACUAGGUUCUGGGUUCACACAAGACCUGAAUCAGGAACAAGGGCUAUUAGCUCAGGUGGUUAGAGCGCACCCCUGAUAAGGGUGAGGUCCCUGGUUCGAGUCCAGGAUGGCCCACCUGCACAGGUGGCAAAAACAAAGAAGCGAGGAAUCAGCACCUUAUCUUAUCUAUAUAUAAGAGAGAAUGCUGGCUCUGAGUAAAGAGUCCAGAGGAACCUUGAAAACUGCAUAGAGCUAGGUGAAAAAGCCAAAAAAGAAGACCGCAA
RNAcentral lists this transfer RNA (355 nucleotides) under uncultured Microcystis sp. Its description in RNAcentral is "partial 16S-23S ribosomal RNA intergenic spacer". The stretch from base 133 to 206 matches the Rfam family "tRNA". Lineage: Bacteria; Bacillati; Cyanobacteriota; Cyanophyceae; Chroococcales; Microcystaceae. The record is from RNAcentral.